AUUGAACGCUGGCGGCAGGCCUAACACAUGCAAGUCGAACGGCAGCACGGGGGAGCUUACUCCCUGGGUGGCGAGUGGCGGACGGGUGAGGAAUACAUCGGAAUCUACCCUUUCGUGGGGGAUAACGUAGGGAAACUUACGCUAAUACCGCAUACGAUCUGAGGAUGAAAGCAGGGGACCGCAAGGCCUCGCGCGAUUGGAUGAGCCGAUGUCCGAUUAGCUAGUUGGCGGGGUAAAGGCCCACCAAGGCGACGAUCGGUAGCUGGUCUGAGAGGAUGGUCAGCCACACGGGAACUGAGACACGGUCCAGACUCCUCCGGGAGGCAGCAGUGGGGAAUAUUGGACUAUGGGCGGAAGCCUGGUCCAGACAUGCCGCGUGUGUGAAGAAGGCCUUCGGGUUGUAAAGCACUUUUGUUGGGAAAGAAAUCCUGUCGGCUAAUACCCGGCGGGGAUGACGGUACCCAAAGAAUAAGCACCGGCUAACUUCGUGCCAGCCGCCGCUGUAA
This 506-nucleotide ribosomal RNA is filed under the name uncultured bacterium. Its description in RNAcentral is "partial 16S ribosomal RNA". It matches the Rfam family "Bacterial small subunit ribosomal RNA", at positions 29 to 523 of the family's 1533-position model. The record is from RNAcentral.